This 932-nucleotide ribosomal RNA is filed under the name uncultured bacterium. RNAcentral describes it as "bacterial SSU rRNA". It matches the Rfam family "Bacterial small subunit ribosomal RNA", at positions 8 to 916 of the family's 1533-position model. The record is from RNAcentral.
AGAGUUUGAUCCUGGCUCAGAACGAACGCUGGCGGCGUGCCUAACACAUGCAAGUCGAGCGAGAAAGCCCGCAAGGGUGAGUAAAGCGGCGCACGGGUGCGUAACACGUGGGUAAUCUGCCCUAGAGUCCGGAAUAACUCGCCGAAAGGCGUGCUAAUGCCGGAUGAGACCACGGGAGCCUCGGCUCCUGCGGGAAAAGGUGGCCUCUGUACACAAGCUAUCGCUCUAGGAUGAGCCCGCGGCCCAUCAGCUCGUUGGCGGGGUAAUGGCCCACCAAGGCUACGACGGGUAGCUGGUCUGAGAGGACGAUCAGCCACACUGGAACUGAGACACGGUCCAGACUCCUACGGGAGGCAGCAGUGGGGAAUCUUGCGCAAUGGGCGAAAGCCUGACGCAGCAACGCCGCGUGUGUGAUGAAGGUCUUCGGAUCGUAAAGCACUGUCGCGAGGGACGAAUAAGGGGCGGGCUAACACCCCGUUCCGAUGACGGUACCUCGAGAGGAAGCACCGGCUAACUCUGUGCCAGCAGCCGCGGUAAUACAGAGGGUGCAAGCGUUGUUCGGAAUUAUUGGGCGUAAAGCGCGUGUAGGCGGCCUUGCAAGUUGGGUGUGAAAGCCCUCGGCUUAACCGAGGAAGUGCGCCCAAAACUACAAGGCUUGAGUGCCGGAGAGGGUGGCGGAAUUCCCGGUGUAGAGGUGAAAUUCGUAGAUAUCAGGAGGAACACCGGUGGCGAAGGCGGAUCUCUGGGCCAUUACUGACGCUGAGGAGCGAAAGCGUGGGGAGCGAACAGGAUUAGAUACCCUGGUAGUCCACGCCGUAAACGUUGGGAACUAGGUGUUGGCGACAUUCCACGUCGUCGGUGCCGCAGCUAACGCAUUAAGUUCCCCGCCUGGGGAGUACGGCCGCAAGGCUAAAACUCAAAGGAAUUGACGG